This 218-nucleotide unclassified non-coding RNA is filed under the name uncultured Mycena. RNAcentral's name for it is "sequence contains ITS2". Lineage: Eukaryota; Fungi; Basidiomycota; Agaricomycetes; Agaricales; Tricholomataceae. The record is from RNAcentral.
AAUUCUCAACCUUGCAAGCUUUUUCUAGCUUGCGAGGCUUGGAUGUGAGGGUUUUGCUGGCUUCCUUUAAGUUGGAUGGUCUGCUCCCUUUAAAUUCAUUAGUGGGAUCCUUUGUGGAUGGUCACUUGGUGUGAUAAUUAUCUACGCCGCCUGACUCUGAUACAAAACUUGUGGGAACCUGCUUAUAACCGUCUCUUUCAGAGACACUAUCAUUGACA